This 69-nucleotide antisense RNA is filed under the name Micromonospora rifamycinica. RNAcentral describes it as "ASpks TB sRNA". It matches the Rfam family "ASpks TB sRNA". The record is from RNAcentral. Lineage: Bacteria; Bacillati; Actinomycetota; Actinomycetes; Micromonosporales; Micromonosporaceae.
CUUGAUCGAGCCGAGCCACAGCGGCCGGUCCCGGUCCCGGCCGUAGGUGGCGAGCAGCGCCUGGGCCUC